RNAcentral lists this ribosomal RNA (497 nucleotides) under uncultured bacterium. Its description in RNAcentral is "partial 16S ribosomal RNA". It matches the Rfam family "Bacterial small subunit ribosomal RNA", at positions 28 to 507 of the family's 1533-position model. The record is from RNAcentral.
GACGAACGCUGGCGGCGUGCCUAAUACAUGCAAGUUGAGCGCUGAAGGUUGGUACUUGUACCAACUGGAUGAGCAGCGAACGGGUGAGUAACGCGUGGGGAAUCUGCCUUUGAGCGGGGGACAACAUUUGGAAACGAAUGCUAAUACCGCAUAAAAACUUUAAACACAAGUUUUAAGUUUGAAAGAUGCAAUUGCAUCACUCAAAGAUGAUCCCGCGUUGUAUUAGCUAGUUGGUGAGGUAAAGGCUCACCAAGGCGAUGAUACAUAGCCGACCUGGGAGGGUGAUCGGCCACAUUGGGACUGGGACAAGGCCCAAACUCCUACGGGAGGCAGCAGUAGGGGAUCUUCGGCAAUGGACGAAAGUCUGACCGAGCAGCGCCGCGUGAGUGAAGAAGGUUGUCGGAUCGUAAAACUCUGUUGGUAGAGAAGAACGUUGGUGAGAGUGGAAAGCUCAUCAAGUGACGGUAACUACACAGAAAGGGACGGCUAACUACGUG